AGCCCACACAUACACAGACGUAUUUGGGGUUGCCACGCGGCACUGUUUGUGAAGCUUCCUCACCUGACGCACCCAGAGCUGCGACACGUCCUCCUCUCUAUCGAAGCAAAAGCGCACGCACAACACCUCCCCCGCCACGCAAGCUUGAGAGGGGCGCUUGGCCGUGGCGCGCUUGUGCGACUGGGCGAGGACAGUGGGUAUACCGGCGCCGUAUCUGCUUUGUACACAGCGGCACGUCGAGCCGUGAGGCUGUGCGCAUGUAGACCUGGCCGGCGUCGUCUCGGCUGUUUGGACUCGACUUUCUUUUUGCCUUCUUUUUGUUUUGUUGUUCCUUUGGCUGGGGUGUUUGCUGGUUUGCGUGUGUACCGCGUCUUUCACCCUCUCCGCCACCCGCAAGGCGUCCCCAUUGCCUCCUAUAUCCACGCCCAUCGGCUCCCUUCUCUCUCUCGUGUUGCUUCUCCACCCCCUAGACAUCGACGCCGUCGACAUUCGUCUAUUUGCGUGUUUUCACCCUUUCUUGUCGGGCUUCAGUCCUUUGCGCCUUCUCACCUUUCGCGUUUGCCGCUCUUCCACCGCCGCCUUUGGUCUCGCAUUCCGGGCAGCCAUGACGGACGUCACCUCUUCGCUCCGCCCGUCGUCGCGCCAGGGCUCCCCGGUGCCGCGCCGGCAGCUCGGCAUUCUGCCUGUGAACCAGCGCUCCUACUCGCGUGUGGGCUCCAAGGGCAUGAUUGGAGAUGACUCGCCGCUCAUGUCUCCCUUGCCCUACUACCCGCGUCGUCGCAGUGUCACCUUUGCCGGUGACCAGAGCGUGAGAGAGGAGCGACCCAACUACAACGCCGCAUAUUCCGCUUCUGCUCCCGUCUCCCCAGCGCGUCACGGCUCGCCGCCGCCGGUUUCCAUCCUCAAGCCGAACUCGUCGUUUCCGGCGGCAGAGGAGGAGGACAGCGGCGCUGCGCCGGCGUACCAGGCUGCCGCAGCCACCGUGGGUGGUGUCUUGGACCGCAAAGACCGCGCGCGGAACUCUCCGGUACCGGUGCGCGGUCGCUCCAAUAGCCGUCAGCGCCUUGCGGCGCGGCGCAAGGAGGCGCAGCUGCAUCGCAGCUUCUACGAUGACAGCUUCGUGGAGGAGUAUGUGCUGCGAGCCAAGACGGAGUUGGAGCAGGAGGAGGCAGAGCAGCGCCGAAUGCAGGAGCAGCUGAGGACCGAGCAGGAGAGGGCGAAGAGGGCAGAGCGCCGCGUCUCGGAGGCAGCGGAGAAGAUCAACGCCCUGCAGCACGCAAAAGAGGUGCUGAUGACGGCCACGGUGCGCCGCCACACUUCCGUGACGCCGUCCCCGCAGCGCGCGCCUGCCGAAAAAUCGAAGCGCAACUCCAGCCUCUUGCGGGAGCUCGAAGAGGACCCCGACCCGGAGGUGCAGGCAGCGCUAAAGGAGCUCGCACGCAACUCCCUGGCGAAGCAGCAGCGUCGCGUUCACUCUUCAGCCCAUCAGCGUCGUCGAUCGAUAUCCAUUGUCUCCGCCGACGCCCUCGCGAAGAGCGGCGAGGUCGACGACGGUGACGACAACGACACCCGCAAGCGCGCCCGUCUAGAGAAGAUCGUCUCCACGCUGCUUGCGAAGAAGGCCAAGAGCAAGAGCAAGCGUAGUGUGAUGGUUAUCGACUGGUCUGAUCUCGACUCCGACGCCGACGGCGACACCGCGACCACUGAGGAGGAUGGGGAGGAGACUGCGGUGGCCCUCAAGCGACGACGCGGCCGCCCUGCCAAAAGCCGCAGUAUAGCGUUGGGGACGGAGGCGACGCUGGUGUCGUCGGCGAAGCAUGUACAGAGGCCGUCCACGAAGCGCGCGGCCUCGUCCCGUAAGCGCCAUGCCAGCGCAGAGCCCGAGUUGGGCGACUCACUUCUUUUUGAGGAUGAGGCCGAGCAGCCGAUUUUGCUUCCUCGCCGGCAGAAUACGCGACCGCCCCCCACUCGGUCUAUCUCGUACAUCGAAAUGGGGAGCGGUGAUGACCUGCUGAGGGACGCCGCCAGCGUUGAGCGUGUGGUGCGGCGACCACCUCGUGCCACACGCGCGCCGGUCACGCGGCAGCGCCGCGGCCGUCUUGCAUCUACUAGCACCCGCGAAGGUGCAGAGGACAUGUCGUCUUUCACAGACGCCACCGCCUGGCGAGGACGUGCGCCGCAGCCGCCAGCCGCGACGACAGGGGGACCGACCGGCGUCCCGCCUCGCCGACGCCGCGGGUCCGCCCCGCGCGCGGACCCCAAUGAUCCCAUGGCCGUCUUCUUUGAGGCUGCCUUUCCGAGUCCCUCGAAGUUUGAUGAGAUGAUGAUGCAGGCUGGCGGCCUGCCAGAGACCCGUCGUGGCGGCGGUGGCGGCGGCCGAGGACAGGGACGGCAUCCCAACUUGGUGCUGCCUAGUUCGAUUGGGCGCCGCCGCUGAUACUUGAGCGAGUGCGUGCCAACCAUGUUGGCGAGUGUGUGUAUGUCGAGCAGUCUCGCGCCAUUUACGACGUCAUGACGUUCGCUGUUCUGGUUCUUGCGAGUGCCGGCUUGGUUCUCUUUGCUUUGACCUAGACUGUCUUUCCUAUCUCAGUUCCUGCAUCGCUCGCCGCCUCCGUCCCGCCUCCGUCCCGCCCAGCCCUCCCCCACCACACUCCUGCACUGCGGCAAGCGGGUCAGCGGACCUCUCUGUAUAGGGGAGCCCUUGCGUGAUGCGGACGCGGAGUUGUUUUGUCCUGCGAACCAGUGAAAGCCCUUUCUCGUUUGUUGUUUCUUAUUUUCCUCUUGAAAGAUAGAUGCUCAGUCGCCUCCACGCGCUGCUCCGCUGUGGUGUGCGUUGUGUGGCUGUAAGCCAGCAAGGACGCACGCACGCUCACGACAGUGCAACAGUGGCGGGACGCUUUAGAUUUCGCGACGUGCGGUGCGUCGGUAUGUGUGUGUGUGUGUCUGGACGAGCUCAUGUGCGCUGCAAGCAACACG
RNAcentral lists this unclassified non-coding RNA (2976 nucleotides) under Leishmania donovani. RNAcentral's name for it is "gene:LdHU3.27.0520(CDS-product:hypothetical_prote in_conserved)". The record is from RNAcentral. Lineage: Eukaryota; Euglenozoa; Kinetoplastea; Trypanosomatida; Trypanosomatidae.